AACGCACGAGACCUGCGGACCUGCGGAAGGAUCAUUACCGAGUUUACAACUCCCAAACCCAAUGUGAACGUUACCAAACUGUUGCCUCGGCGGGGUCACGCCCCGGGUGCGUCGCAGCCCCGGAACCAGGCGCCCGCCGGAGGAACCAACCAAACUCUUUCUGUAGUCCCCUCGCGGACGUUAUUUCUUACAGCUCUGAGCAAAAAUUCAAAAUGAAUCAAAACUUUUAACAAUGGAUCU
This 240-nucleotide unclassified non-coding RNA is filed under the name soil metagenome. Its description in RNAcentral is "partial contains 5.8S ribosomal RNA, internal transcribed spacer 2, and large subunit ribosomal RNA". The record is from RNAcentral.